GACGAACGCUGGCGGCGUGCUUAACACAUGCAAGUCGAACGGAAAGGCCCUGCUUUUGUGGGGUGCUCGAGUGGCGAACGGGUGAGUAACCCGUGAGUAACCUGCCCUUGACUUUGGGAUAACUUCAGGAAACUGGGGCUAAUACCGGAUAGGAGCUCCUGCUGCAUGGUGGGGGUUGGAAAGUUUCGGCGGUUGGGGAUGGACUCGCGGCUUAUCAGCUUGUUGGUGGGGUAGUGGCUUACCAAGGCUUUGACGGGUAGCCGGCCUGAGAGGGUGACCGGCCACAUUGGGACUGAGAGACGCACCAGACUCGUACGGGAGGCAGCAGUGGGGAAUAUGGCACAAUGGGCGGAAGCCUGAUGCAGCAACGCCGCGUGCGGGAUGACGGCCUUCGGGUUGUAAACCGCUGUCGCCUGUGACGAAGCGGGAGUGACGGUAAUGGGUAAAGAAGCACCGGCUAACUACGUG
RNAcentral lists this ribosomal RNA (468 nucleotides) under uncultured bacterium. Its description in RNAcentral is "partial 16S ribosomal RNA". It matches the Rfam family "Bacterial small subunit ribosomal RNA", at positions 28 to 507 of the family's 1533-position model. The record is from RNAcentral.